RNAcentral lists this ribosomal RNA (400 nucleotides) under uncultured bacterium. RNAcentral's name for it is "bacterial SSU rRNA". It matches the Rfam family "Bacterial small subunit ribosomal RNA", at positions 355 to 769 of the family's 1533-position model. The record is from RNAcentral.
UCGAGAAUAUUCGUCAAUGGACGAAAGUCUGAACGAGCGACGCCGCGUGCAGGAUGAAGCAUUUCGGUGUGUAAACUGCGGUAGCAGGGGAGGAAUGUAAAUGACUGUACCCUGCGGAAAGUGGUGGGUAACUACGUGCCAGCACCAGCGGUAAUACGUAGGCCACAAGCGUUAUCCGGAUUUAUUGGGCGUAAAGCGCAUGCAGGUGGUAGUAAGCGUCUCCGGUCAAAGCCCACCGCCUAACGGUGGAACUGCCGGGGAUACGAUACAACUAGAGGGAGUUAGAGGUACACGGAACGCACGGUGUAGGGGUAAUAUCCGUUGAUAUCGUGCGGAACACCAAAGGCGAAGGCAGUGUACUGGGACUUUCCUGACACUCAGAUGCGAAAGCGUGGGGAGC